GUAGGUGGCAAGCGUUGUCCGGGAAUUAUUGGGCGUAAAGCGCGCGCAGGCGGUUCUUUAAGUCUGAUGUGAAAGCCCACGGGCUCAACCGUGGAGGGUCAUUGGAAACUGGAGAACUUGAGUACAGAAGAGGAAAGCGGAAUUCCACGUGUAGCGGUGAAAUGCGUAGAGAUGUGGAGGAACACCAGUGGCGAAGGCGGCUUUCUGGUCUGUAACUGACGCUGAGGCGCGAAAGCGUGGGGAGCAAACAGGAUUAGAUACCCUGGUAGUCCACGCCGUAAACGAUGAGUGCUAAGUGUUAGGGGGUUUUCCGCCCCUUAGUGCUGCAGCUAACGCAUUAAGCACUCCGCCUGGGGAGUACGGCCGCAAGGCUG
This 374-nucleotide ribosomal RNA is filed under the name uncultured organism. RNAcentral describes it as "partial 16S ribosomal RNA". It matches the Rfam family "Bacterial small subunit ribosomal RNA", at positions 527 to 896 of the family's 1533-position model. The record is from RNAcentral.